This 482-nucleotide ribosomal RNA is filed under the name uncultured bacterium. RNAcentral describes it as "bacterial SSU rRNA". It matches the Rfam family "Bacterial small subunit ribosomal RNA", at positions 30 to 506 of the family's 1533-position model. The record is from RNAcentral.
UUGAACGCUGGCGGCAUGCCUUACACAUGCAAGUCGAGCGGCAGCGCGGGGGCAACCCUGGCGGCGAGCGGCGAACGGGUGAGUAAUACAUCGGAACGUGUCCAGUUGUGGGGGAUAACCAGUCGAAAGAUUGACUAAUACCGCAUACGAUCCACGGAUGAAAGCGGGGGACCGCAAGGCCUCGCGUUAUUGGAGCGGCCGAUGUCGGAUUAGCUAGUUGGCGGGGUAACGGCCCACCAAGGCGACGAUCCGUAGCUGGUCUGAGAGGACGACCAGCCACACUGGAACUGAGACACGGUCCAGACUUUUAUGGGAGGUAGCAGUGGGGAAUUUUGGACAAUGGGCGCAAGUCUGAUCCAGCCAUGCCGCGUGAGUGAAGAAGGUCUUCGGGUUGUAAAGCUCUUUUGGUGGGGACGAAACGGUCCGUGACAACACCACGGACUAAUGACGGUACUCGCAGAAGAAGCACCGGCUAACUACGU